Molecule: non-coding RNA, 98 nt
Organism: Marasmius sp. AFHP31
Lineage: Eukaryota; Fungi; Basidiomycota; Agaricomycetes; Agaricales; Marasmiaceae
Source: the annotation of a GenBank genome assembly
GGCCGCCUGGCGAAAUGGCAUCGCGUCUGACUACGAUACCAGUGCCAAUGGCAUGUAUAGUUAUCAGGAGAUUGCAGGUUCGACCCCUGCGGUGGUCA